Long non-coding RNA from Bos grunniens (domestic yak), 2003 nucleotides. The record is from Ensembl. NCBI's taxonomy places the organism in Eukaryota, Metazoa, Chordata, Mammalia, Artiodactyla, Bovidae.
AUGGAGCUGACCUGGCGAGAGAGGAAGCAGGACGGGCUGGGAGGUACUUUAGAGGGGCAGUCAGGGGAGGCUGCUCGGAGGAGGUGUCAUAGCAGCAGUGAUUCCAAUGAGAAGGAGCUGGCCAAGCCAAGACUGAGGGAACCUCACGACAGAUGCUGUCACAGGGACUCAGAGGUGAAAGGCUCGCCCAGGUCAGUCUCACUGGUAUCCACAGGGUGCGACCCUAAACUGGAAAGGGAAAUGAACCCCAUUUCCCAGCAGCCUUUGCCACUCUCUGUCUCUAGAGACCCAGACGCAGGCCCGUGUGGUCCUCCAAGCUGGGGACGAUGGGAUCAGCAUGGACGCGGUAGCCCUGGUGGCCCAGCCAGUGAAUGGCCCCCUGGAGCUGGUGGUGAAUGUCAGCCACACGGCACCUCUUCUCCGGAGGCUGGGCCUGCCCUUUGCCAGCCAGCUCAUGUUCUGGGAGCUCUGGGGAAAGGAAGAGAUGCAUUCUUCCCUGCAGCUCACGUGCGAUUCUCAAACCAGCCUGGUCCUCAACAUCCAAGGCCACAACCAGGCACUCAGGUGAGGGCUUUGCCACACUCUGGGAGCCCCAGGGGAAGAGGAAUGAGUGAGGGAGAGGCCUCAGCUGAGCACCUGACCCACAGCACUGCUUCAAACCCUCCCCACAGCCCCACUGUACAGAGGUGGAAAGGGAGGCUCAGAGAGGCCAAAUGACUUGCCCGAGGUCACACAACUAAUAAAACAUCUUUGACCUCUGGGGCUCGGGAUACGAAUGAGGAGUUCUUAUUCUCCCAAGCUAAAUGCAUCCCAGGCCUCGAAUAGUAAUAACUAGUAUGGCUCUUCAGUCUGGGAACCUUCUGGGGCGCCAUGAAGUCAGGUGGGUCACCAGGCUCCAGGUGAUGGAGGGCGAUGAGGAAACUGCUGGUAAUGAUAUAGACCAGCGGUUCUCAGCCUGGGGCAUUGGGCAGUGUCUGGGGAAAGGUCCGGUUGUUACAGCCAGGAAGGAGGGUCUACUGGCUCCUCGCAGGCGGGGGCCGCAGCUACUGCCAGACCUCCUGGAAUGCGCAGGUCAGGCCACAACGAUGACUGGUGUGGCCCACGGUGUCAGCCGUGCUGAGGUUGGCACACGUGGUGUAGGGACACGCCUGGACAGGGCAGCCCCCAGGGCAGGUGGCAGUGGGGAGCCAUGAGUGCCUGGCCUGAGGAGCCGAGGGAGGGGAGCUGUGAGCCCAGGGCUGCAGGAGGGGGCCAGGCUUAAAGUUCGCUGUCCAAAGCGAGAGGGCCCCAUGGGUGGGCCCACAGAAGACCUGCCGCUGAGUACCACCCAGCCCCUGUGCUGGAGGGGAGACGGAGGCACUUGCCCACCAUGCCAGGACCAGGCGGAGGCCAAGCUGGAAUGCAAACGUGCAUCGCUGCAGCCCUGAUCGUUGUAGCCCACGGCCGUCAGGCCUCCGGGCAUGUUAAUAGCCCUUCAUUGGGUUGCUGCCAUGUUCUGGGUCUCCAGCCCUCUGCUGGGGUGGUUGGCUUGGUCCUGACCCGGCCUGCACAGGGCGCCCUCAAGCCAGGCCUCUCACGCCUUCUUUGCUUCCAGCAAAGAGCUGCGGCUCUCCGGCCAGCAUCACCUCCCUGUCCUCCUUGGCCGCUGCCCCAGCAGAGCCUCCGCCUCAGCCAAGGUAACCGUGUCCCGGCCACCCCUGAGCCCCUAACUGGUUCCAGAUGCCCUGCCCGAGGCGGGUGGGGGCCGCGCAGGCCGGCCCCGCUGCUGCGGAGUGUUAACACAUCACAUGUGUCCCCCGGCCUGCAGCAGGCCCCGCUGGGCCACCCUCGGAAACCCCUGGCUCCAGGUUUCCCAAACAGGCCCGGGUUUACAUUCCUGGGCCGGCCUUGCAGCCCCCACCGGGGCCCACGAGACCCCCAGGAGCCAGGGGAGUCUUGCCCACCAGUGCCUGGCGCCACCUCCCCCCAGCCUGGCACGCUCCUGGGCGCUGGAUGACGCGGCC